Molecule: RNA transcript, 1831 nt
Organism: Triticum aestivum (bread wheat)
Lineage: Eukaryota; Viridiplantae; Streptophyta; Magnoliopsida; Poales; Poaceae
Gene name: F-box/LRR-repeat protein At3g26922
Exons: 6
Source: RefSeq, a predicted model, not a curated record
UCAAAUGAACUGAACUCUUCUUUCCCCUCUUGCCCUCCCCCUUCCUCGUAGCCGUCUUCCUCCGUGUUCCCCGGGCGGCGGCGCACAACACCUGUUCGACGGAACGCCGCUCCGGGGCGGGAAGCUUCGACCAUGGCGAGCGGGGAGGACCGCAUAAGCGCCCUCCCGGAGGACAUCCUCCACCAGGUGCUCCGCCUCCUGCCGGCUCAUGAGGUGGUGCGGACGUGCUUGCUCGCCCGGCGCUGGCGCGGCGUCUGGAGGUCCGUGCCCACCCUCUGCUUCACCGGAGCCAAGGGGUGGGGCAGCGCCGACAGGUUCGCCCAAUUCGUGGACCACUUGCUCCACCUCAGGUGCGGGGGCGACGGCCCGCCUCUGGAUUCCUGCGAUUUCGACUUCGAUCACGACGGAUUCAUGCUGUGGCCCGCAAACAAGCGGCGUGCCAGCAUCUGGCUCUGGAAGGCUCUGCCUCGUGUCCGGGCGCUGGGCCUUUGUAUCGUCGAGGAGCUGGAAACCUGGACACGAUUAUCUGAUAAGCAUCUCUUCUCCCAGCACCUCACUAGAUUAGAGCUUGCUGGAGUCAGUGUCAGCGACAGCGUCGUUGAUUUUUCAGGCUGUCCGGCAUUGGUGCAACUGAGUAUGGAUUAUUGCGAUGUUUUUGUCAGACAGCUGGUGUCUCCAUCCUUGAAACAUCUGCGCGUUACCCGCUGCUAUACUUCUCGCAAUUACCGCAUUCUUAUUUCUCUACCAAAUCUUGUUUCGCUCGAGUUCAUCCAGUGGGGCGAAGGAAGGGCUCCAUUGCUUGGAAGCUUGCCGCAGUUAGCAAGAGCUGAUAUUUUUCUUAACGGGGAUUGUGCUGAUCAAUGCUCUGAGGGACGGUUUGAUGGUUGUGAUGCUGAUGACAGUGAUAUCUGUUAUGGUUGUUAUUAUUAUUAUGGGGAUCCUAUACAUGGGCCUCAUUAUGACUGCAACAACUGCAUCGUUCUCAAAGGUUUGUCAGAAGCCACAGACUUGGAGUUGACAGCUUAUCAUGAUCCGACUGUUUUGAACAGGGAUUUGAAGUGGUGCCCUACAUUUACCAAGUUAAAGACUUUGCUACUCAAUGAUUGGUGUCUGGCUGCUGACCACAAUGCACUAAUUUGUUUUCUCCAACAUGCACCAAUUUUGGAGAAGCUUACCAUUCAACUUCCUGAGAAACCUUCAUAUGUAACUGGAGCAGAAGGAAUAUACAAACCAUUGGGACAGUCAGUUGCAUCCAACUGUCUUGAGAUUGUUGAAAUCAAAUGUGCAAAUGUCGAUAGCAGGGUUCACAAAAUUCUGAAGAUUCUGACUAUGUAUGGCAUACACCUUGAGCAAAUUAGUGUCCAACAGACUUGCAAAAUUCCUGGAUCUGGAUGUUUCAAUUUUGUUUGCACUGGUUUCUGCUAAAACCGUAGGGACAAAAUUUGUAUACAUAUAUAAAUGAAGGAAAGGUAAAAAAAAUGCUUGCUGGUUAAAGUUUGGAUGUAAACCAGUUGAUGAACACUUUGUCGUUAUUCCUAGAUCCAAUGAUGAAAAUAGGGAAAAUAAUUGAGGUACAAAUGAUGUCGUGCUGGCCAACAGCAAGAAGUUAGCCACGUUCUCAAGGCGGCCAGCUCCACCGGAGGAGACGGACUCCACUGCAUUCAACGAGCUGCUCAUCAUCGUUCACGAGGCCCUUGUUGCUGCUCACCAUCGUCCCAAAGCCCUAUCCCUUUUGUACUACAUACUAGAAGUAAAUUGAUCAUAGCAGUGUUGUACCUCUGCUAAACAAUUUCUUGUGGCUCAUGAACUUAAUUGAGGGUUAUUCCAAGUC